Vicugna pacos (alpaca) is the source of this 7449-nucleotide non-coding RNA. Lineage: Eukaryota; Metazoa; Chordata; Mammalia; Artiodactyla; Camelidae. The record is from RefSeq and is a predicted model, not a curated record.
GAAAAAGGAGCUAAAUAUCUUCAGUCAGAGGAGCUGGGCUGACCAGAGGCUGUAGCCCCUGCCCCACCUCCUCAGUCCCCUCCACCAUGUCUGUGGGUCCCUUUCAUCCCAAUCUGCAGAACAGAUAGCAACGUGACCCCACCCCAUUCCACCCCCGGAAGUCAGCAUUCUGCUUCCGGAGGCUGGCUUCCCAGAGGAGGUUCCUGUUAAUCCGGGGGUGCACUCUCCAGGAAAGGAAGUCCUGUGAUUGGGAGGUGGUGAGUGGACUCUGGGAUUCCUGGUAACUGGCCUGGCCCCCUGCCCAAUCACACCUGUGCUGGAGCAGGCAGAUCAGCUCCUGCCUCCCCAAGGGCUGUCCUGCUGGCCUCUUAGAGGUGAGCGGGUCAUCCAGGUGCUCUGUGCGGUUGCUCCCCUGAGUUCAGGGUUGUCCUCACCUGGUUACUACCCACCCCCUCCCAUCCCCCUGCUUCAGUGCACUCUGGACUCCCAUCCUUUACCAUCUGCAUUUUUUUACCUGGGGACUUCCUCUCUCCAGUGGACAAAAGUGCAGGGGAAUUAACCACCUCCCUCCCAGCAGCCUUUAACCAACAACUGACAGGAUGGGUGUGUAAACAACCGGCUUCUCCUCCUCAGGUGGGAUUACUCAGAGGGAUCUCCUUGAACUAAGAGCUCUGCCACCGCUGCUCAGGAGCUAGAUGUCCAAACUACCAGGCACUGACUGGGUUCAGCUAAGUCACUGGACAGACCAGAAAGCUGCAAACUGUGCCUCCCCCUGCCCUUUGUCUCUCCCAACACAGGUGAAGCUAAAUGAAGCCAGUUCCCAGAGACAGAGUGUUCCUGGGCACAGGGCCUCUGUUCUCCAAGGUGCAGGCCUAGGAAAAAGCCAGUGCAUUCCUCCUGGUCCCACUAACUGGAAUUACUGCUGGAUCCAAGUGCAGUUGACUAAUUAUGUUAGCUAUUGAAUUAAGUUGUCUAAUUCCUGCAUUUACAGUGGGAAAAUCUAAAAUAGUUGGUUCUAUGAAUGUAUGCAGAGAAAGUUGCCCACCUUGGGUCUGUGACCCCCAGCAGGAAGGACAGGAUCCCACCCUGGUUUACCUGGGGCUCACUGAGACCCCCACAUUUAUCUUCCUACCCAUCCAUUUGCCAAGUCCAACCCUUGUGUCUCUGGGUAAAAUACACUAAAGAAAUAGAAUUUUGUUUUGUUUUGUUUUGUUUUGUUCUAUUUUCGUGGCAAGAAGGAUCCUUGAUGGAAACUGGAUCUGUAAGAAAAAUAAAAACAGAGCCAUUAGCAUCGACAAUACUCUCUGGCCCCGGAAUUCUGGUGGCUUUCCAGUUUUAUAGCCUCAGCGGUGACAGUUUAGCAGCUAAGAUCCUCCUGUGGAAAAAUAAAUUAUUUAGGAUUCAAAUUUCUUCCAUUCAUCAUGUCCACUCUUCCUUUUGUCCAAACACAGCCUCACAGAGACUGUUUUUUUUUUCCCUUCAGGCUGUAAGGAGCUUAUGCAAAGUGCUUAGCAUCACUGUGCUUGGUCACUGUCAGUGUCUUCUGUGUCCUCUCCCUGCUCCCAGGGCCCCCAGCAGCUGUGAUGGAGCCUUGCUCUCCCAAAGCUAGACCAUGGUGGUGAGUUUUACUACAUUCAGUGCCCAAAAGGAGAGGGGAUGCAGCCCCUUUCAUUUUAGCGCAGCAUCAUUCACUGGUGGGAUGCUGAGAGAGAGAGGCUCACCAAGCUUUAGGAAAGAAAAUUCUAGAAAGAUCUCCCCCAAGAGAGGAGGCUUUGCCACUGUCAUCAGAUGGUUCUUCACUUUCCAGACUGAGAAGAACACCAAACUGCUCAUUUCCCUUCCAGAGUCUAAGAGCAGAGCCUGCGAGACUCAGGAUGACUCAGCAAACCCCCGUAAUUCAUCCCUGCCCCUCCGCUCCCCCAACACACACGUGCACACUGAGUCACACACCCUCAGGGUGGCUUUCAGUGGCUAACGCACUAAAGCCAGAGAUGUCUCCAGGCCAAUAGAACUGCGCUUUGAAAUUCAUCCUGCACUGGCUACCACAUCAACUUCUUAAAACAUUCUUGCCUGUUGCAGUGGGUGCUGCUGGCUGCUUUCCCCAGAUCCCUCCUCUUCCUUCCCAGCAGGGUUUUAGUGCUCCCCUUCUUUGUCCAGCCUUCUCCUAGACGGAAGCAGUCCCAGCCCUAGGGGCAGAGCGUCGGGGUAGCUGUAGAUUGGUCUAAUCCAGUCAUAGUAAUCCAAACCCCUGCGCUAGUUGUUUGCUUAAGAAGGGGCAUGAGAUCCAAUUCAGGGGCAUGUCACUCCAAUCAGGGGGCAAGUAUACUGGGGAGGGGGCUCCUGGGAAAAAUUUCUUAACUCAAGAAGAGACACAAGGAAAGGUGGCCUUUCCAUCCCCCACCCCUCUAGCUUUUGGCGGUCAGGUGUGAGGAUACAAUUCUGGGGGCUCCUCUAGACUUCUGCACAGGAGGGAAAGCUCUGAUGGUGUCAGAGCCGGAAGCUGGAAAAGUCCCCAGGUCUCUGAUGACACUGUUGAGUUACAGCCCUGACACUUCCCAACUGUUCUGUUGUUAUCUGAGAUGAUCUCCUUAUUAUCAUUUUGAAUUCUGUUUUCUGAAGUUUGCAGCACCAAGUAAUCUCACUCAUAAUCCACUUACAAAUCAAGUCUCAAAAUGCCUUGCAGCAUUUGGAAACCUACCAGUUUUUACCCUUUCAUUUUAGAACUGAAUUAAAGAGAGUGAUGACACUGGCAGAAUAUUUUUUUCAGUUUACAAAGCAGCUUAACUGUGGGAGAUGGAGAUGGGUGCUGGUGCCAGGAUGGGAGAGCACAUGUUUGUCUGCCCACAUUCAGCAGGGAACAGGAGAACAAGCAGAAAGGAGGCUGCUGGAUCCUUACAAGCAGAGGUCACAGCCCUGCUCACCAGUCCCUCCCACUGAGAUACAUCUCUUUGCCUUUUUCUACCUGUGGACACUUGUUGACCUGAGUCUACAUGUUCUCCUUGUCUCUGGAAACUUACUGGGAUCCUGCAUGCUCACUGAGACCCAGAGGAGACCCAGAGCAGGUCUUCUCCACAGGCUCCCUCCUUCACUAUCAGACUUCUCAUCUUUGGCCUCAGUUCCUGGCCCUCUGCUUUCUCCCUACGUCAUCUCAGCCGCUGCCUAGGACUUUAAAUCUCAACAAUUGCUGAAGACUCCUAUGUUCACAGCUAAGACCCACCUGUCCUGUGACCUCCCUCUAUUCCUCUGCCUAUGUGACAUUUCCACUUGGUUGGUCAAUGUCUCAAAAUUAGCAACAGAACAGAACCCUUGAUUUCUAUCCCUUAUCAUGCCUUGGUCCUCUGUCAAUGACAUCCCAACCUUGGAGACAUCUUUGAGGCUUGCUUCUCUUUCCCUCAUUAUUUCACCCAGUCUAUCAGCCAGACUUGCUGGUUCUUCUCCCAAAAUAUACCCAUUCAAUUUCCGCUCCACAGCCAUCACUCUGUUCCAGGCACCAUCUUUGCCUGCCUGGACCAGUGCAAGUGAUUCCUGCCUAAUUGUCCUCCCCCUUUCCAUUCUGUACCCAACAGGCACUGUGAUUAUUUUGAAAUCUAAACCAGCAGCUUGGGCUCCUCCCCUGUGAGGCGGGGAUGAAUGACCGGCAAUGAUGGGAAAGGCAGGGAACAAGUUCUGAGGAGAAGCUCUGAGCUGCAUAGGAACCUCUGUUCCCACUUCUCCCAUCUCCUCCUAUGUGUCUGUGACUCAGGGAACCACCCCAGGCCAGGGAUCCAUGGGAAACUCUGUUUUGACAAUCCCAACAAUAGGUCUUGCAUUGUCCACAAGCGAGCCUGGGGUGCCGUGCCAAGAGAGCUGUGCCAGAGGACUGGGACCAGGAAUGCAGCACUCAGUUCUAAGCUGAGAGGCUGGGAGCUUGGUCCACCCAUAAGGACCUCCUGUAUUCAGAGAAGGAAUAGACACUAGCCCUGUGCUGUAGGGCUGGCAAGUUAGUGGGCUUGAGGACCACGUGGGCACAAAAGGGGUCCACGUACCUGCGGGACUGCAGGCCUGGGGACUUGUUCACAGGGAUUCAAUGAUGUAGUAGGCAGCUCCCAGGGCCCCCAGAGCCACAGCAACAGUCCCGAGGGCUUGGAGCACGCGAAUUACGAUGAGCGGAAUGUUUUCUUGUAGGUCUUCUGCAAAGCAAAGCAGAAAACUCACAGGUUGGGGGCAGCUGGGCUCUAGUGCCUGUCUAUGGGUGGGGGAAGGAGGAAAUUGUGGGGUUCCCUCAGGACUGCAGGAAUACCCUUCUCCCCCCAUAGGUCCUCCUCUCAAGGGAACACAGCUCCCUGCCUCCCUUCCAGUAAAGCUCUCCCACAGGACCUGCCAGGAUCCGAGAAUGGGCUGGCGUCCUGGGAUGCCAUAUCCUCUGGACACUCAGGGAACAGGUCACAAAGGCAGUCAAGGCCGCCACAUGCCAGGCGCUGUACUAAACACCUCACACCCGGAGUCUUCCUCAAGCUUGCCAACAGCCCUGUGAAGCCCAGUCCACCAUGUCGCUCCCUUCUGGAGCUGAGGCAUCGGAGGAAGCCGCAUAUCAUACCCACCACAAAGGUGGUGGAAAAGGGAAGUAUAUGAUUAUGCUAAUUAUUGUGAGGAAGGGUUCCACAAAAUGCAAUAUCCAUUUUGACAAAAAUCCUACCGAAGUAGGGAUUCUUAUUUAAUGGGAAUGUGUAUUUAAAGCCCAGCACCAACCUUCCACUCCACUGGGAAAUGGAAAACUUACGGAAGCAGGUGCUAAACUUGAGCAGAAUUAAGACUACAUGUUUUACCUAGUCAGAGUGGCCUCUGUCCCGCCCCCUCACUUUCCUAAUUCUUGUCCCUUUUCCUCCCCACUAAUGCUCUCCCUUUAAAAUAGGCAACAGAGGAUCCUAAGAUCCUUUCAGAGUCAGCUCAGAUACGACUGGUACUACAAUGUCUGUCUGGAACCCCGCUCAGGAGGGAAGCUCUUUGAAUACCUACAGGACACGCAUCACUUCCUGGCUUGCACCUUUGUUUCUAAAUGUACAUGUCUUAAGUUACCAUGUAGAAUGCAGUUUUUAUGGGUCAAGUUCCCUGUUCUGGUUCCCCUCACGGUGCCUAGCAGCCUAUGCAAAAUAAGCUUUUCCUACUUGUUGGUUUUAAAGUGAUAUGAAUCCCUGGCACAACUUGGCACCAGCUGGACGGAAGUAGUUAAGUGUGCGGAAAGACAGCCGAUAUUGGCGAGUGAGGCGGGGCGGGGACACGCCUUUCCCUGACAGGAGGUAGCCAGGCAGUAGAGUAUCUUUAGCUCUGGCAUGUUCUUCCCACACACGUGGGUGUCUGUUUGCUUCUCUUCUUGUGCCUGAGGGAUGAUGUUUUCAAGGAUGGACAAGACAGGGAGAGGGACGAGGAAGAGGAGCAGGAUGGGGAUGGGGGAUGGGUGGGCUUUGCUUCUGGGUUGGGGGAUCCUCAAGCAGAAAGCCUCUUCUGUGGACAUUUGGGAGACCUGAGUCCAGGCGGAGCCGUUCUGGGGCCCAGAGCUGCGGGUGGGUGGAGGUCUAUCUCCCAGCCCUUGCACACAGCCCUGCACCACUGGGAAAGUGAGGGACAUCUUCAGUCCAGUUCCCUGGACCAGGGGACGUGGCAGCCACCAGGUUGCUCUUGGUGGCUUCGUGGAAGAGGAAAAGAAGGGCAGAUACUGCGGACGAUGCUGUGGGGGCUGCCCGGUCAUGGACAGACCCCCGUGGGGCUGCCAGGAACAGCCUGAGACCCUCUCAAGGGGUGGAGGUCUUACUAUUACCAUUUACAAUUAUAUUUAUCACUAAACUCUGGGGGAAAGUCGUACGCAGUUCAAGAACCAGAAGCUGUCAGUUAUGGCCUAGGCCACAAAAGGAGGUGCUGGCCCAACAGAGCCUUUAAUCACCAAGCUCCUGAGUGACGGGGAAGUCAUGACGGGCUGGAGGGGGGAGAGCUCUGAACAGGGAGGGUGCCUGUGGAGUAAAGAAGCUGAGACCCCCGCAGAAGCAAUCCCCGGUAAGGCAGAGUCUCAGCACCUCUCUGUGCAGGUGGGGCACCUCUGGGUGGGUCUGGUCAGAAAGGGCUGGGCGCCAAAGCCCAGGAAAUGGCCACCGGGAGGGAGAGGCUUUCCUUCUGGCCUAGGAUUCCCAGGAGGAAGUUCCACACGACUGCUAAUGCGAUCCCACGUGGGGCCUGGCCCUGGGAACCGUGUGCCCUGAGGCUCCAGCCCCCCACGCGCUCCAGAACCUGUAGAAGGUGAGGAGGUUUGGGAAUGCUCUCCCUGGCAUGCUUGGCCAGGCCCGAGGCAGAAGGACAUCGAAGAUGCGGCUAUGACACAGGCCCAGACGACGCCAGCAAGCCAAGCUGCCGGGGCAGGUGGAGCAGGAACAGAAGGCACGCGGGCCCGCUCGAGUCAGAGGCCCUGGGUGGACAGAAAAGGAGAAGGGUGUCCACAUGAGGAAUGGUGUGUCUAUGGAGAGAAGACUAACUGCAUGGGAAGCUGGUUGUUUUACAGACCUGGUGCUACCUGGGAAUAAUACUAAUGACACUGACGUCAGAGUGCACGCCUGGAUGGUGCCCCGCACGUCACUAGCCAUCCGUCUACUUGUCAGCCCAGUCCUGAGAAGUGGGAUAUUGUUAUUCUCAGUUUACAAAUAAGGAAACUGAGGCUGAAAGAAUAUGAGAUGUGCCCUGAGAGCAAGGAGAUUGAAGAAGGGGGCUUCCACUCAAGAUUCCUGACUCUCAGUUCGGUGCUCUUUCCAUGGAAUUUGCAGGAGGUGACAGCAGCAGGGAACGCCCAUCCUAUGAGAGGUGGCACUGAGAUUCCUGCAACCAGAGUGGCCAUGUCCCAUUUCUACAGAUACAUCCAUCCGGAAGACAACCGCUGCCCCAGGCUUUCCAAGCCCAUCACCAUUGCUGCCCUGGCUGAGAAGGCCAGCAGAACUUGGAGAUGGCACCCUCUGCUGUUUUGCAAGAGGACCUCUGGCUGGAUCACUCCCUCCUCACGCAGCUGCUUCUGUCCUGGCUUCUUGACAGACCUGUAGAUUCUUCCAACUCUAAGUCCAUGAAGCCAGUGGUCAACUGGGGACAACUCAGCACACUUCAUGCUUAGACCUGCCCACGACAGGAACUUUUCCUGGAAUGGGGAAGGGAGGGAUUCUAAAGGCAAGACUGGUCUUUUUUCUUUUUUAGUUAAAAAAUAAUUUUAACGGACAUACGAUUUCCAUUCCAUAAAAUUUACUCCUUUGAACUGUUCAGUGGCUUUUAGUAUAUUCACAAAGGAAUGCAACCAUCAUCACUCUCUAAUUCUUGGAACUUUUUCAUCUCCUGACAAGGAAACUCCCUACCCAGAAAUAGGCACAGCCUGUUCUCCACUCUCCCCAGUUCCUGGUAAUAGAUCUGCCUAUUCUGGACAUUUCUUAAGUGGAAUCAUACAGU